UACGUAGGUGGCAAGCGUUAUCCGGAUUUAUUGGGCGUAAAGGGAACGCAGGCGGUCUUUUAAGUCUGAUGUGAAAGCCUUCGGCUUAACCGGAGUAGUGCAUUGGAAACUGGGAGACUUGAGUGCAGAAGAGGAGAGUGGAACUCCAUUUGUAGCGGUGAAAUGCGUAGAUAUAUGGAAGAACACCAGUGGCGAAAGCGGCUCUCUGGUCUGUAACUGACGCUGAGGUUCGAAAGCGUGGGUAGCAAACAGG
This 253-nucleotide ribosomal RNA is filed under the name uncultured bacterium. RNAcentral's name for it is "partial 16S ribosomal RNA". It matches the Rfam family "Bacterial small subunit ribosomal RNA", at positions 524 to 776 of the family's 1533-position model. The record is from RNAcentral.